CGCAGAUGAUGUGAAGGGAAAUUUGCUGCCUGAGCGAUGGUGAGGACAUUCCUAACCACCAAGAUCGCUGAUGCA
Small nucleolar RNA from Manis pentadactyla (Chinese pangolin), 75 nucleotides. RefSeq annotates it as small nucleolar RNA SNORD24. The record is from RefSeq and is a predicted model, not a curated record. NCBI's taxonomy places the organism in Eukaryota, Metazoa, Chordata, Mammalia, Pholidota, Manidae. The transcript has a single exon.